Molecule: ribosomal RNA, 2965 nt
Filed under: Escherichia coli TOP550-1
Lineage: Bacteria; Pseudomonadati; Pseudomonadota; Gammaproteobacteria; Enterobacterales; Enterobacteriaceae
Description: bacterial LSU rRNA
Rfam family: Bacterial large subunit ribosomal RNA
Source: RNAcentral
UUAAGCGACUAAGCGUACACGGUGGAUGCCCUGGCAGUCAGAGGCGAUGAAGGACGUGCUAAUCUGCGAUAAGCGUCGGUGAGGUGAUAUGAACCGUUAUAACCGGCGAUUUCCGAAUGGGGAAACCCAGUGUGUUUCGACACACUAUCAUUAACUGAAUCCAUAGGUUAAUGAGGCGAACCGGGGGAACUGAAACAUCUAAGUACCCCGAGGAAAAGAAAUCAACCGAGAUUCCCCCAGUAGCGGCGAGCGAACGGGGAGGAGCCCAGAGCCUGAAUCAGUGUGUGUGUUAGUGGAAGCGUCUGGAAAGGCGUGCGAUACAGGGUGACAGCCCCGUACACAAAAAUGCACAUAUUGUGAGCUCGAUGAGUAGGGCGGGACACGUGGUAUCCUGUCUGAAUAUGGGGGGACCAUCCUCCAAGGCUAAAUACUCCUGACUGACCGAUAGUGAACCAGUACCGUGAGGGAAAGGCGAAAAGAACCCCGGCGAGGGGAGUGAAAAAGAACCUGAAACCGUGUACGUACAAGCAGUGGGAGCCUCUUAAUGGGGUGACUGCGUACCUUUUGUAUAAUGGGUCAGCGACUUAUAUUCUGUAGCAAGGUUAACCGAAUAGGGGAGCCGAAGGGAAACCGAGUCUUAACUGGGCGUUAAGUUGCAGGGUAUAGACCCGAAACCCGGUGAUCUAGCCAUGGGCAGGUUGAAGGUUGGGUAACACUAACUGGAGGACCGAACCGACUAAUGUUGAAAAAUUAGCGGAUGACUUGUGGCUGGGGGUGAAAGGCCAAUCAAACCGGGAGAUAGCUGGUUCUCCCCGAAAGCUAUUUAGGUAGCGCCUCGUGAAUUCAUCUCCGGGGGUAGAGCACUGUUUCGGCAAGGGGGUCAUCCCGACUUACCAACCCGAUGCAAACUGCGAAUACCGGAGAAUGUUAUCACGGGAGACACACGGCGGGUGCUAACGUCCGUCGUGAAGAGGGAAACAACCCAGACCGCCAGCUAAGGUCCCAAAGUCAUGGUUAAGUGGGAAACGAUGUGGGAAGGCCCAGACAGCCAGGAUGUUGGCUUAGAAGCAGCCAUCAUUUAAAGAAAGCGUAAUAGCUCACUGGUCGAGUCGGCCUGCGCGGAAGAUGUAACGGGGCUAAACCAUGCACCGAAGCUGCGGCAGCGACACUAUGUGUUGUUGGGUAGGGGAGCGUUCUGUAAGCCUGUGAAGGUGGCCUGUGAGGGUUGCUGGAGGUAUCAGAAGUGCGAAUGCUGACAUAAGUAACGAUAAAGCGGGUGAAAAGCCCGCUCGCCGGAAGACCAAGGGUUCCUGUCCAACGUUAAUCGGGGCAGGGUGAGUCGACCCCUAAGGCGAGGCCGAAAGGCGUAGUCGAUGGGAAACAGGUUAAUAUUCCUGUACUUGGUGUUACUGCGAAGGGGGGACGGAGAAGGCUAUGUUGGCCGGGCGACGGUUGUCCCGGUUUAAGCGUGUAGGCUGGUUUUCCAGGCAAAUCCGGAAAACCAAGGCUGAGGCGUGAUGACGAGGCACUACGGUGCUGAAGCGACAAAUGCCCUGCUUCCAGGAAAAGCCUCUAAGCAUCAGGUAACAUCAAAUCGUACCCCAAACCGACACAGGUGGUCAGGUAGAGAAUACCAAGGCGCUUGAGAGAACUCGGGUGAAGGAACUAGGCAAAAUGGUGCCGUAACUUCGGGAGAAGGCACGCUGAUAUGUAGGUGAAGCGACUUGCUCGUGGAGCUGAAAUCAGUCGAAGAUACCAGCUGGCUGCAACUGUUUAUUAAAAACACAGCACUGUGCAAACACGAAAGUGGACGUAUACGGUGUGACGCCUGCCCGGUGCCGGAAGGUUAAUUGAUGGGGUUAGCGGCAACGCGAAGCUCUUGAUCGAAGCCCCGGUAAACGGCGGCCGUAACUAUAACGGUCCUAAGGUAGCGAAAUUCCUUGUCGGGUAAGUUCCGACCUGCACGAAUGGCGUAAUGAUGGCCAGGCUGUCUCCACCCGAGACUCAGUGAAAUUGAACUCGCUGUGAAGAUGCAGUGUACCCGCGGCAAGACGGAAAGACCCCGUGAACCUUUACUAUAGCUUGACACUGAACAUUGAGCCUUGAUGUGUAGGAUAGGUGGGAGGCUUUGAAGUGUGGACGCCAGUCUGCAUGGAGCCGACCUUGAAAUACCACCCUUUAAUGUUUGAUGUUCUAACGUUGGCCCGUAAUCCGGGUUGCGGACAGUGUCUGGUGGGUAGUCGGACAGUGUCUGGUGGGUAGUUUGACUGGGGCGGUCUCCUCUCCUCCUAAAGAGUAACGGAGGAGCACGAAGGUUGGCUAAUAGUAACGGAGGAGCACGAAGGUUGGCUAAUCCUGGUCGGACAUCAGGAGGUUAGUGCAAUGGCAUAAGCCAGCUUGACUGCGAGCGUGACGGCGCGAGCAGGUGCGAAAGCAGGUCAUAGUGAUCCGGUGGUUCUGAAUGGAAGGGCCAUCGCUCAACGGAUAAAAGGUACUCCGGGGAUAACAGGCUGAUACCGCCCAAGAGUUCAUAUCGACGGCGGUGUUUGGCACCUCGAUGUCGGCUCAUCACAUCCUGGGGCUGAAGUAGGUCCCAAGGGUAUGGCUGUUCGCCAUUUAAAGUGGUACGCGAGCUGGGUUUAGAACGUCGUGAGACAGUUCGGUCCCUAUCUGCCGUGGGCGCUGGAGAACUGAGGGGGGCUGCUCCUAGUACGAGAGGACCGGAGUGGACGCAUCACUGGUGUUCGGGUUGUCAUGCCAAUGGCACUGCCCGGUAGCUAAAUGCGGAAGAGAUAAGUGCUGAAAGCAUCUAAGCACGAAACUUGCCCCGAGAUGAGUUCUCCCUGAAUCGGAGGGCCGUGUGUUCCUGAAGGAACGUUGAAGACGACGACGUUGAUAGGCCGGGUGUGUAAGCGCAGCGAUGCGUUGAGCUAACCGGUACUAAUGAACCGUGAGGCUUAACCUU